AGCAGCCGCGGUAAUUCCAGCUCCAAUAGCGUAUAUUAAAGUUGUUGCAGUUAAAAAGCUCGUAGUUGAAUUUCGAGACCGGUUUAUUGGUCGUGCUUUUGUACGUACUGGUAUUAUUGGUUUCUCCUUUCUGACGAAUCUUAAUGCCAUUAAUUUGGUGUUUUGGGGAAUCAGGACUGUUACUUUGAAAAAAUUAGAGUGUUUAAAGCAGGCUCACGCUUGAAUACAUUAGCAUGGAAUAACGGAAUAGGACGUUUGAUUCUAUUUUGUUGGUUUCUAGGAUCGACGUAAUGAUUAAUAGGGAUAGUUGGGGGCAUUAGUAUUCAAUUGUCAGAGGUGAAAUUCUUGGAUUUAUUGAAGACUAACUACUGCGAAAGCAUUUGCCAAGGAUGUUUUCAUUAAUCAAGAACGAAAGUUAGGGGAUCGAAGACGAUCAGAUACCGUCGUAGUCUUAACCAUAAACUAUGCCGACUAGGGAUCGGAUGAUGUUAAUUUUUUAAUGUACUCAUUCGGCGCCUUA
RNAcentral lists this ribosomal RNA (520 nucleotides) under uncultured Glomus. RNAcentral describes it as "SSU rRNA". It matches the Rfam family "Eukaryotic small subunit ribosomal RNA", at positions 569 to 1090 of the family's 1831-position model. Lineage: Eukaryota; Fungi; Glomeromycota; Glomeromycetes; Glomerales; Glomeraceae. The record is from RNAcentral.